AUACGGAGGGGACUAGCGUUGUUCGGAAUUACUGGGCGUAAAGCGCACGUAGGCGGAUCGGAAAGUUGGGGGUGAAAUCCCGGGGCUCAACCCCGGAACUGCCUUCAAAACUAUCGGUCUGGAGUUCGAGAGAGGUGAGUGGAAUUCCGAGUGUAGAGGUGAAAUUCGUAGAUAUUCGGAGGAACACCAGUGGCGAAGGCGGCUCACUGGCUCGAUACUGACGCUGAGGUGCG
This 233-nucleotide ribosomal RNA is filed under the name uncultured bacterium. Its description in RNAcentral is "partial 16S ribosomal RNA". It matches the Rfam family "Bacterial small subunit ribosomal RNA", at positions 523 to 755 of the family's 1533-position model. The record is from RNAcentral.